CACACAGGCUUGGUCCUAACCUUAAAAUCAAUUUAUUCUUGACUUACACAUGCAAGUUUCCGCAUACCCGUGAAAACGCCCCCCCCACCCCAUUUGGAAACAAGGAGCUGAUAUCAGGCACAACAUCACCCAAGACAUCUAGCCACACCACACCCACAAGGGUCCUCAGCAGUGAUUAACAUUAAAAAUAAACGUCAGUUUGAUUUAGCCAAUGAAAACAGAGCCGGCUAAUCUGUGUGCCAGCCGCCGCGGCUACACCAAUGAGGCUCAAAUUGAUUGUGCACGGCGUAAAGCGUGAUUAAAGAAACAAGCCGAUUGGAGUUAAACCUGAACUAAACUGUGACAUCCUUGUUCUUGAAAAACCCUACUUCGAAAGAUACCCCAACCCAUCAACUUGAACUCACGAAAACUGGGACACAAACUGGGAUUAGAUACCCCACUAUGCCCAAUUACAAACCUUAACUUACCCCCUCCUCCGCCAGGGAACUACGAGCAAAGCUUAAAACCCAAAGGACUUGACGGUACCCUAUAUCCCCCUAGAGGAGCCUGUCUCAUAAUCGAUACUCCACGUUUUACCUCACCACUUUUUGUCUUUCAGCCUGUAUACUUCCGUCGCCAGCCUGCCGCAUGAGCGAAUUGAGCGAGGCCUAAUGCUAACAGCAAUACGUCAGGUCAAGGUGCAGCAAAUAAAGUGGAAAAAGAUGGGCUACACUCUCUAUUAUAGAAAAUACGAAGAACUUCAUGAAACUUUAGUCAGAAGGUGGAUUUAGUAGUAAGGUGAAAUAGAAUAUUCACCUUAAUCGGGCACUAGGGUGUGUACACACCGCCCGUCACCCUCUUCAAAGUUUUUCCCGUAGUAAUUAACACCACUUACUUAAUAGAAGAGGCAAGUCGUAACAUGGUAAGUAUACCGGAAGGUGUGCUUGGAAA
RNAcentral lists this non-coding RNA (930 nucleotides) under Pristimantis kalamandeenae. Its description in RNAcentral is "12S ribosomal RNA". It matches the Rfam family "Bacterial small subunit ribosomal RNA". Lineage: Eukaryota; Metazoa; Chordata; Amphibia; Anura; Strabomantidae. The record is from RNAcentral.